RNAcentral lists this ribosomal RNA (445 nucleotides) under uncultured bacterium. RNAcentral's name for it is "partial 16S ribosomal RNA". It matches the Rfam family "Bacterial small subunit ribosomal RNA", at positions 354 to 796 of the family's 1533-position model. The record is from RNAcentral.
GUGAGGAAUAUUGCGCAAUGGAGGCAACUCUGACGCAGCCAUGCCGCGUGCAGGAAGAAGGCGCUACGCGUUGUAAACUGCUUUUAACCGGGAAGAAACCCCAGGACGUGUCCUGGGUUGACGGUACCGGAGGAAUAAGCACCGGCUAACUUCGUGCCAGCAGCCGCGGUAAUACGAAGGGUGCAAGCGUUAUCCGGAUUCAUUGGGUUUAAAGGGUGCGUAGGCGGAGCGUUAAGUCAGUGGUGAAAUCCUGCAGCUUAACUGUAGACUUGCCAUUGAUACUGGCGCUCUUGAGUGCGCUUGAAGUGGGCGGAAUGUGCCGUUUAGCGGUAAAAUGCUUAGAUAUGGCACAGAACACCAAUUGCGAAGGCAGCUCACUAAGGCGAUACUGACGCUGAGGCACGAAAGCGUGGGGAUCGAACAGGAUUAGAAACCCUAGUAGUCC